GACGAACUGUGCGAACGUUAUUCGGCAUCACUGGGCUUACAGGGUGCGUAGGCGGCCACGUAAGUAGGGUGUGAAAUCCCCCGGCCCAACCGGGGAACUGCGCUCUAAACUACAUGGCUUGAGUGAGCUAGGGGUCCACGGAACUUCCAGUGGAGCGGUGAAAUGUGUUGAUAUUGGAAGGAACACCGGAGGCGAAAGCGGUGGACUGGGGCUUAACUGACGCUGAGGCACGAAAGCCAGGGGAGCGAACGGG
Molecule: ribosomal RNA, 253 nt
Filed under: uncultured bacterium
Lineage: Bacteria
Description: partial 16S ribosomal RNA
Rfam family: Bacterial small subunit ribosomal RNA
Source: RNAcentral